Molecule: ribosomal RNA, 466 nt
Filed under: uncultured bacterium
Lineage: Bacteria
Description: partial 16S ribosomal RNA
Rfam family: Bacterial small subunit ribosomal RNA
Source: RNAcentral
UGGGGAAUUUUGGGACAAUGGGCGAAAGCCUGAUCCAGCAAUGCCGCGUGUGUGAAGAAGGCCUUCGGGUUGUAAAGCACUUUUGUCCGGAAAGAAAUCCUUGGCUCUAAUACAGUCGGGGGAUGACGGUACCGGAAGAAUAAGCACCGGCUAACUACGUGCCAGCAGCCGCGGUAAUACGUAGGGUGCAAGCGUUAAUCGGAAUUACUGGGCGUAAAGCGUGCGCAGGCGGUUUGCUAAGACCGAUGUGAAAUCCCCGGGCUAAACCUGGGAACUGCAUUGGUGACUGGCAGGCUAGAGUAUGGCAGAGGGGGGUAGAAUUCCACGUGUAGCAGUGAAAUGCGUAGAGAUGUGGAGGAAUACCGAUGGCGAAGGCAGCCCCCUGGGCCAAAUACUGACGCUCAUGCACGAAAAGCGUGGGGGAGCAAAACAGGAUUAGAUACCCUGGUAGUCCACGCCCUAAAAC